RNAcentral lists this ribosomal RNA (464 nucleotides) under Vreelandella stevensii. RNAcentral describes it as "partial 16S ribosomal RNA". It matches the Rfam family "Bacterial small subunit ribosomal RNA", at positions 338 to 795 of the family's 1533-position model. The record is from RNAcentral. Lineage: Bacteria; Pseudomonadati; Pseudomonadota; Gammaproteobacteria; Oceanospirillales; Halomonadaceae.
CCUACGGUGGCAGCAGUGGGGAAUAUUGGACAAUGGGCGAAAGCCUGAUCCAGCCAUGCCGCGUGUGUGAAGAAGGCCUUCGGGUUGUAAAGCACUUUCAGUGGGGAAGAAAGCCUUGGGGCUAAUACCCUCGAGGAAGGACAUCACCCACAGAAGAAGCACCGGCUAACUCCGUGCCAGCAGCCGCGGUAAUACGGAGGGUGCGAGCGUUAAUCGGAAUUACUGGGCGUAAAGCGCGCGUAGGCGGUCUGAUAAGCCGGUUGUGAAAGCCCCGGGCUCAACCUGGGAACGGCAUCCGGAACUGUCAGGCUAGAGUGCAGGAGAGGAAGGUAGAAUUCCCGGUGUAGCGGUGAAAUGCGUAGAGAUCGGGAGGAAUACCAGUGGCGAAGGCGGCCUUCUGGACUGACACUGACGCUGAGGUGCGAAAGCGUGGGUAGCAAACAGGAUUAGAUACCCGAGUAGUC